This 72-nucleotide transfer RNA is filed under the name Caudoviricetes sp. RNAcentral describes it as "tRNA-Phe". It matches the Rfam family "tRNA". Rfam says of the family: Transfer RNA (tRNA) molecules are approximately 80 nucleotides in length. Their secondary structure includes four short double-helical elements and three loops (D, anti-codon, and T loops). Lineage: Duplodnaviria; Heunggongvirae; Uroviricota; Caudoviricetes. The record is from RNAcentral.
UUCUGAUUUGCUAAAUGGUUAAAGCGACAGACAGAAAAUCUGUAAUUGUAGGUUCGAAUCCUGCAUCAGAGA